This 228-nucleotide unclassified non-coding RNA is filed under the name Hevea brasiliensis (rubber tree). Lineage: Eukaryota; Viridiplantae; Streptophyta; Magnoliopsida; Malpighiales; Euphorbiaceae. The record is from RNAcentral.
GCCAAAGCAAGCCUCAGAAACAACAAAAAAUUGUUACAUUCAUCUCUCUAAUUCUCCCACAUUCACUUUUAGAUUUUCCUCUGUUUCAAAAACUAUAGCUUGAACUAUAUUAUACAAAUGUCUGGACAUCUUGGCCUCCUAGGACCUGAAAAUUUAUCAAUCCUUUUCAACUUAUUACAUCCAACACCUAGGCAAAACAAAUAUCUCACACUCUUAUCUACAUUUAAA